GUGAAUGCUGCUGCUGCAACCACUGAGCAGAGGAGGUGCCAAAAGUGACAUCAAUGCCUCAGGAAAGAGGGGUCUGUCAGAUCUGCAGCUCAGGCAAACACAUCCUGCUUCCAGAGAGAGGCCCCCACACAGCCCAGCUAUUCAGGCUGGUAGUAAUGAAGAUGCUGUUGUGUUGGAGAAUCCUCCAGUCAAGGCUGAACUUUAAAUGUAAACUUGGAAAGUGUUCUCUGAGCCAAACCUCACCAAUCUGGCCUUGUGGGCCCAGCACAGAAGAUGAAAUGUGUACACUGGGCUCUGUAGGAUUACUGCUGGAGAGACUCCUUCACCUGCAGCUCAAAGAAAAAAUAAAUGUUUGCACUGAACCAGGCAGUGACUUGGCAAAUGAAAACAGGAGCCACAUCUGCUGUUGAAUCACUUGCAGUUUUCUUGACUUCCGAGUCACAGGGGAUCCUAUUAAGUAGAAAAAGCAGGUGUCACCAAUGGCAGAGCAGCGUGUUGCUUGAGAGGCUUUUUCAGCUUCAAAGGUGUGACUUCUUCCAGAAGGUCCCAUCUGAAUCUCUCCUGAUCCAGCAGCAGCAGCACCUCCCCGUGCUGUGAUCACACAGCUCUGUGCUGUAGCCUGGUAGGGAACAACAA
Passer domesticus (house sparrow) is the source of this 636-nucleotide long non-coding RNA. RefSeq lists it as uncharacterized. Lineage: Eukaryota; Metazoa; Chordata; Aves; Passeriformes; Passeridae. The record is from RefSeq and is a predicted model, not a curated record. The transcript has 3 exons.